This 319-nucleotide ribosomal RNA is filed under the name uncultured bacterium. Its description in RNAcentral is "bacterial SSU rRNA". It matches the Rfam family "Bacterial small subunit ribosomal RNA", at positions 1032 to 1354 of the family's 1533-position model. The record is from RNAcentral.
AGACAGGUGCUGCAUGGUUGUCGUCAGCUCGUGCCGUGAGGUGUUGGGUUAAGUCCCGCAACGAGCGCAACCCUUGCUUACAGUUGCCAUCAUUAAGUUGGGGACUCUGUAAGGAUGCCGGUGUUAAACCGGAGGAAGGUGAGGAUGACGUCAAAUCAUCACGGCCCUUAUGCCUGGGGCUACACACGUGCUACAAUGGUGGUUACAAAGAGAAGCGAAACAGCGAUGUGGAGCAAAUCUCAAAAAGGCCAUCUCAGUUCGGAUUGAAGUCUGCAACUCGACUUCAUGAAGGUGAAUCNCUAGUAAUCGUAGAUCAGCA